UCCAAUUUGCACCUCAACUGCAACUCUUCCCACACCUGCCAAAAGAAAAGAAGUCCCUAACUUGUCAGCCCAAUUUUCCUAUUGGGUGGGUGAAGAAUCUAUUCAUUUUAUUAGAAAAGAAGGAGACCUGGAGUCGUCUGAAUAUGGCUGAAAGUCAUGACAACAAUCCAAUUAAUUCAGCUACGCAUCAAGGGCGAACGCCCGCGCUAACCACGUCGGAGCUGGACCAGUGCGCUCACGCGAGAGCAAAGGGCUUUGCUGCAUAUCUCUCCCGCAGAUAACGCCUACCUAGGCUAAAUUUGCAGUCGCAGAUUUUUUUUCACGCACGCGUCAUCCCUCUCUCAGUCUCUCUCGUUUCCUCUCCCCCAGCUCUAGGGUUCCCAGCCCCACUGCACCGCUGCCACAACCCACAACCCCUCGCAGUCUCCCUUCCAAUUCACCUUCUCUCCUCCCGUCAUGGCACUGGAUCAUUCCCCCAGCUUCUUCGUGCGCAGCCGCCGGCCUUGUCCUCUUCACCGACGGGAGGAGGCGAGUAGCAGCCGCACCAGGCGGCCAGCAAGAAAGACGGCCGGGCAUGGCUCCACCUCUCCCAUCCUCGGAUGUGGGCGGAGUCGGCGGUUGGGGGCGAGCGCCAGACAGGCAGAGGGAGCGCCCUGGUCGAGGGAUACUAGUGGUGGGGGUUCCACCAACCGCGGAGGAGGAGGAAGAAGGGGCGAUGGGCGAGUACUGCGCCGCGGCGGCGGCGGCGGAGGGGGAGCAGCCGGUCGCGGAGUCCGUGCUGCCGCUGCCACCGCCGCUAGCCAGGUACCUGUACGGAGACUAUGACCGCUGCUCCACCAAGCAGGUCUCUUCGAGAACCUCCACGGCAGCAUCUCCUUCGACCCGACAGAACAAAAGGGCCAUUGUUAAAUGAGAUCCCUUGUUAAAUUGGUCUAAGCGGCAAGAUAAUUACAGGGUUAACAGAGGGAAUUGUUCACCUGCAUAAGCACUCCAGGUUCUGGCUUGUCCAUAGAGACUUGAAACCACAUAAUGUCCUCUUGGAUUGUAACAUGAUCCCAAAGAUUGCUGAUUUUGGAUCAUCUAGAGCACUGCGUUCAGAUGUAGCAGAGGAGCGCACGAGUAGGGUCAUUGGAACCAGUGGUUACAAAGCUUCGAAGUAUGCAUCUCGAGGAGUUUACUCGAUGAAGACAGAUGUGUUCAACUUUGGCGUUUUGGUUCUGGUGAUUAUUAGUGGCCGAAAGAAUACCAUAAUCGACAAGCGAGGGGAUAUUGUUGGUGAUCUUGUACGAGAAGUGAGACAAGACUGGCAUAUGUGGAAGGAGCAAAGGUUGCAUGAGCUUGUGGAUCCAUUCUUAGCGGGUGGAUAUAAAGUCGCUGAGAUAAGAAAAUGCUCUCAUGUGGCAAUGCCUUGUGCUCAGGAAGAUCCAGCAGACUAGCCCACCAUGACAGAUGUUGCUGCAAUGCUAAACUCUAAAAGCAUAAGCUUAGCAAUCGAGCCUAAGCAGCCCGCUGUGCUGAUCCAUGGGUGUGCCGACUAUAUAAGAUCGGUUGCAAGACUGUACAGUGUGUAUUCAAAUGAGGCUAGAGGUUAAUCCAAUUGGGUGAUACGAUUCAUGGAGUUGAUUUCUUUGACAUACUAAACAGGGCUAUGACAGAACAUGCUAUGUGAUUCCCUGAGGCAGGAUGGAUGUACCAUGGCCACCCCACUGUGUUCCUGAAGGUGAUCCCUUCAAUUCAGCGCACGUCCUACCAUGCCACACCAUGGUCGUUGCAGCACCUGCAGAGCCCCCCUAUGGAACAUGCUUUACUGUCCAUUGGGUCACGUUAUUGUCUUGCCAUGCAUGGCUUUGUGGUCCAUUGAUUCGCAGCGAUGCUCUCAGAUGUGCUUCCACCCCACGUAUCUGCCAAAGUCCAUGAUAUGAGAAGUUGCUCACGGUUCAUGGUUAGGAUUCGCCGACGCAGGCUUCGAAGAUGACGGCUCCGUCGGCUUCACCGACCUGGGAGCUACUUUGGGCGGCGUGGGGUGGUAAUUCGGUGUAGUUACGGAAGGCUACGUAUGGGAGGCGUCGGGUGGAAGUAUGCGAUCUAUGCCGUGAAAAGCUUCGUAUUUAUAGGGGAUUCUCUAACAACCGAUCACAAGGAAAUAUUGGUAAUUUGGGAUCUCACGAAGAGGUAGUUUUAGAUCACGUAAUGUUUAUUUAUAGGGGAUUAUCUAACAACCGACCACAAGGAAAUAUUGGGAAUUUGGGAUCUCACGAAGAGGUAGUUUUAGAUCACGUAAUGUUUUUUAGCUAGUUUUUUUAUUUUGAGAAAUUUGUAGCAAGUUUAGAUCAGUAAUCUCAACCGUGAAGCAUUUGGGCUUCUUGUGAUUUCUUACACGGGCCUAUUAUAAUGGGAUGAGCCCAUUUUAAAUGUGAACAUGAGAAAGGAAGCUAGGACUCCAACAGCCGCGACGAGCCUCGUCCCAAUUAUUUAGAACGGGCAUGCGCGAGGGCGCUUCGUCCUCACUGCCACAACUCUCCAAAAACGGUUCCUCUGCCUCUGCGUCCUCUCGAUUCCCUCUUCCUCUGCGUCGCCCACUCUCCCAACAAUCUGCCUUCUGGAACGGUGAGUUAUCCUUCCUGUCAAUAAUGUUAGUAGUUCUCCAGUAGCAGCACAUACGAUGGCCUUCUUCUUGUCAAUUUCUUGUUCUCCUGCUUCUUUAUUUUGUGCGCACAGAUUCAUCUGCCUGCAAAAUGUAGUCUGUUGCCUUAUGAGAAUUUUGCACACAGAUUCAUCUGCAUGCAACAUUUAAUCUGUUGUCUUGUCAAUUUGUUGUUUUUCUCUUGCUUCUUUAGUUUGUACACACAGUUUCAUCUGCAUGGCCGAUGAACAAUUCAUAGAUACAUGUUUAUUCUUGAUUGUUGAUGCAGUUGUUUAGAUAAAUAUUUCAAGAGCAUAAAUUUUGAUUGUUAAUUCGCAUAUACUCCCUCUGCAAGGAAAUAUAACAACUUUUGGUUCACUACUUUAGUGAUUUCUUUACAGAGGGAGUACUUGUUUAGUUUAAAUUGUUCAUGCACUUGUUUACAUAAACUUUCAAUAGCGCCAGAAUUACUAUACUAUCUGCCAUCAUAUUCAUCUCGGCUUAUUGUUAUCAUGUUAUUGUCAUGCUUCAUGUCUUAUACUGGUUUCAUCAAUUAAAGUCCUUCGGCAUGGCGUUCGAGAAAGAUUAUGCUGCUAGGGCAGAUGGAAAUACCGAAAUUUUUGUGAAGUACACGAACAAGGGUAGCUGUGUUGAGUACUGCAUUGGCAGAUUCAAAUACAGGCUGCGAACGACGACCGGAAGAUAGUUGCACUGGAUGUGGAGUACACCUGGCCUCGCGGUCCCACACAGAUGGCUGACGUGGUCCAGUUAUGCGUUGGCAUCUAGGUCCUCGUGUACCACAUAAGUGUUGCUGAUGAGCACUGUGGCCUGCUUGCCACCUUCCUGCUCGACGAGGAGUACACCUUUGUUGGGGUGGACAUCAACAAUGACGAGAAAAAACUCAAGCUUGUUGGUCUGGUGUUACAAAACUUUGUGGAUAUCCAGAAUGUGUGGAGAGUGCCUGAUCGAGUGACGAUUAAGCCAAAGUAUGGCUUGGCUGACUACGCUGGUUCCAUCAUCCACCACAGCUACAACAAGAUGAAGGAUGCUAUCACAGAAGAUGACCACCAUAUAUGGGCAGAAGCGCCCUUGCCCUUGAAGAACAUCUAUUAUGCUUCCAUGGACGCGUAUGCCACCUACGAUGUAUACAGGCGCUUGGUGAACUUCCAGAAGGGGUUUGAGAGUCAGCGCCAGCAUCACGCCAAACCAUCUAGGCGGUCAAAGAAGUCCGGAAGCAAGAAUGAAUCAACCUAAAAUGUUUCUUCUAUUUAUCUAGCUGAUAGUCUGUAAACUUUAUUAUACUGCUUGUAAGUCAUAAGUUCAAAUUUCCUGCAAGUUGAAUCAUCCUUUA
Aegilops tauschii subsp. strangulata is the source of this 3974-nucleotide non-coding RNA. The record is from RefSeq and is a predicted model, not a curated record. Lineage: Eukaryota; Viridiplantae; Streptophyta; Magnoliopsida; Poales; Poaceae.